This 2120-nucleotide long non-coding RNA is filed under the name Homo sapiens (human). RNAcentral's name for it is "HSALNT0318030". The record is from RNAcentral. Lineage: Eukaryota; Metazoa; Chordata; Mammalia; Primates; Hominidae.
UGGACCAAUCAGCAAGAUGUGGGUGGGGCCAGAUAAGGGAAUAAAAGCAGGCUGCUGGAGCCAGUAAUGUUGACACCCUCGGGUUGUCUUCUGUGGUGUGGAGGCUUUGUUCUUUUGUUCUUUGUGAUAGAUCUAAUUGCUGCUCACUCUUUGGGUCUGUACUGCGUUUAUGAGCUGUGACACUCGCCGUGAAGGUCUGCAGCUUCACUCCUGAACCAGCGAGAGGAGGAACCCACCAGAAGGAGGAAAACGCGGAACACAUCUGAAUAUCAGAAGGAACAAACUCCAGACACGCCGCCUUUAAGAACUGUAACAGUCACCGCGAGGGUCCGUGGUUUCAUUCUUGAAGUAAGUGAGACCAAGAACCUGCCAAUUUCAGACACAAUGGAGAGCGCCAGUCCUGCUGCGGGGCCAUACAUCUAUUUAAUUUCCUCUCAUCUUCCCCCCGGUUCCGAGAGGAAGGUGCUUUCACCUGCACUGUUCCCAUGAGGAAACGAGGCUUCAGGAAUCUGAUAAAGCUUCCAAACUCCCGUGGCUGGCAGGAACCAAGGUUUCGAUGGCCGGACUUCUCAGCCCCCCAGGUGGAAAAGCAGGAGGCAUGACAGAUGAGGGUGAGAGUGCAUGCCAGGUCAGGCUGAGAAGGCGACAAUGCCAUAUGGUUUUUUCCACUUAGCUUAGCUCCAGGAUGACUUUGAACAGUGUUACAGCCCCAUGGGCAGAAAAUUGCACUUGCCUCAAGCUUCAUUAAAGCAAAUCGAGUCAGAAGGGAUUGAAACACCUGGAAGAAAUGCAAUGGAUUCAAACAGGGAAAAGGUGUGGGUCCGUCCCUUUUCCUGGUAAAUCCAGCAGCCUAGGAGAUGUCAGAAAAACAUUCCAAGGUUCCUGGACUUUUAAAGAGGCUAAGGAUGGGGCCUGCCAGGUACAGGAUGGCCCAUGCAGGUGGAGAUGCAGCCACAGGAUACCUGGGAUUCAUUGCAGCCUCGUCACUUACCAGUGUUGGCACUGUAUCGGUUAUCCCGAAUUUAACAGCCUAAAGCCACAUUCGUCAUCUUAUACUCUGUGGGGGUAGGGAAUCCAGGAGUGGAUUCACCAGGAGGUUCUGGCUGGGUGUCUCCCCGGAGCCGCAGGCGAGUGUGGGCCGUGGCAGCCAUCCCUGUUUCCAAGUGCACCAUGUGGCAGUUGGCUUGAGGCUCCAGGUCCUUGAGGUGCAGGCUUCCCCACGGGGCUGCUCGCGGCAUGGCUUCCUCACCCAGAGUGAUGGAUCCGAGAGAGAGCAGCCAAACUGAAAGCCACAGCCUUUUGUAAGCAAACCUCAGAAGUGACAUCUCGUCACAUCUGCCAUAUUCUACUGGUCGCACAGACCUAUCCUGCUACAUGGAAGGAGCAGCAGGAAGGUGGUGGGGAUUGCUGGGACCAUCUUGGAGGCUGCCACAGACAUCCAAGCCCCUCCAGGCAGGACAAACCAGGAUGAGAGGACAGUGUCGGGUGUAGCUGCCACCACCCAGUGUCGUCCAAGGAAAAUGGAGCAACCACAUCCUGCAUGGCAACACCAGGUGGCCAAGCCAGAUCGUGUGACCACUCGACGCUUCCCACCCACAGCAAAGAGGAGUGCAGGCUCUGCUGAUUCUCACGCACGUACAAGAAAGACUUCUUUUCGGUAAAGAAAGGAAGGAAAGCGCUGCAGGUUCCACCAGAGGCUUUUAUUUCAGCCACUCAGGACCCUGGCUUUCUGCUCCAAGGCACUGAACACAGUCAGGCUCUUCUAAACACUGGCAGGGACCUCCCCCACAGCCGCCCCCACAGGGUUCUCUGUUUCCCAAGUCCUGAUGGAUUCAGGCAAGACCUUCACACAUUCACCCACUACCUGCUGGACAGGAGGGUCAUGAGGCAGCCUGUGGUGCCCAGCUCAGUGUGACACACUGCCAAUGUGCCGCCUCCCCCAGCCUCUGAUGGGGCCGGGCCUUGACCACGUGACAGGCUCAAGCUGCCGUGCACAUCCCCCAGGAAAGGGGAAGAGCUGCUAAGGUGUAGCAGUGACCAAACAAAUAAGAAAUGCUACUGUGGAGGUUACACAGAUGCUUAUUUGGUUUUUAAACAAAUCCAACACAAAAGAAAGAAAG